This 468-nucleotide ribosomal RNA is filed under the name uncultured bacterium. Its description in RNAcentral is "partial 16S ribosomal RNA". It matches the Rfam family "Bacterial small subunit ribosomal RNA", at positions 28 to 507 of the family's 1533-position model. The record is from RNAcentral.
GACGAACGCUGGCGGCGUGCUUAACACAUGCAAGUCGAACGGAAAGGCCCUGCUUUUGUGGGGUGCUCGAGUGGCGAACGGGUGAGUAACACGUGAGUAACCUGCCCUUGACUUUGGGAUAACUUCAGGAAACUGGGGCUAAUACCGGAUAGGAGCUCCUGCUGCAUGGUGGGGGUUGGAAAGUUUCGGCGGUUGGGGAUGGACUCGCGGCUUAUCAGCUUGUUGGUGGGGUAGUGGCUUACCAAGGCUUUGACGGGUAGCCGGCCUGAGAGGGUGACCGGCCACAAUGGGACUAAGAGACGGCCCAGAAUCCUACGGGAGGCAGCAGGGGGGAAUAUGGCACAAUGGGCGGAAGCCUGAUGCAGAAACGCCGCGUGCGGGAUGACGGCUUUCGGGUUGUAAACCGCUUUCGCCGGUGACGAAGAGUGAGUGACGGUAAUGGGUAAAGAAGCAACGGCUAACUACGUG